UGGUGAUGUAGCAUGCCCGUAUGGUGUUUAACUCUGAUGAUUAAUUGUUAUUUUAUUACUUUUGGGUAACGGGGUGUUACACUCGC
Medicago truncatula (barrel medic) is the source of this 86-nucleotide microRNA precursor. It matches the Rfam family "MIR2617 microRNA precursor family". NCBI's taxonomy places the organism in Eukaryota, Viridiplantae, Streptophyta, Magnoliopsida, Fabales, Fabaceae. The record is from Rfam.